This is a non-coding RNA of Pelobates cultripes (western spadefoot toad), 481 nucleotides long. The record is from the annotation of a GenBank genome assembly. NCBI's taxonomy places the organism in Eukaryota, Metazoa, Chordata, Amphibia, Anura, Pelobatidae.
GGAAAGUUUAAUCUAAGUAACUGUUGUCUGCACAUAGAUGAUGAAGGGCAGGCAGUGGCUGAACUUACAAGCCACAUGGUUAAAUUUGAGCAUGUACCUACUCAGGUCUGGAAUGGGUAUAACCUAAGUAUUUGGUUUGGAAGUUGGUAUGAGCAGCUUGGAGGAAUUAAGACAUUAGUAGGAGGAGUAGAAUUUAUUAUAUUUUUUUGUGCCUCCUCCUGCCCUGUCUAAUUCCACUAGUGGUAAGGUCCCUACGUAGCAUUAUAGAGAGUACUAGAGAGAAAGACAGCGGCUCAUGUAAUGGCUGUCUGGAAGAUAUGAUCCCCUAGCCCGAAGAGAAUAUAUUCAGGAUGAAGAAUGUUGACGGAGUUUUUAAGAUGCUUACAAGGUCUACUCUGGUUCAAUGGCUACUUGAGAGAUGUAGGUAAAACUGUGAUUGGUGAUGCAUCUGGAAUAAUGUUAUAUCAGAGGCAUCAAAGGG